This 76-nucleotide transfer RNA is filed under the name uncultured Rubrobacteraceae bacterium. RNAcentral's name for it is "tRNA-Arg-CCT". It matches the Rfam family "tRNA". From Rfam's summary of the family: Transfer RNA (tRNA) molecules are approximately 80 nucleotides in length. Their secondary structure includes four short double-helical elements and three loops (D, anti-codon, and T loops). The record is from RNAcentral. Lineage: Bacteria; Bacillati; Actinomycetota; Rubrobacteria; Rubrobacterales; Rubrobacteraceae.
GCGCCUGUAGCUCAGGGGAUAGAGCAUCGGUUUCCUAAACCGGGUGUCGGAGGUUCGAAUCCUUCCAGGCGCACCA